AACCGCACGAUGAAAGGGAUCGAACGGUUCCGCUUAAGCUUCUGGAUGCUUCUUGAAGUUCGUUCCCUUAUAAAUAUGCAUCAUCGAUCGGCUGUAGACCUGUAUCUAAAUUAAACGCCACUUCAUUCUCCUCUUCCCAGCAAGAGAGAUUGUUCAUUUGGCAAGGGGGUUGAAUCUACUUCUGGCCGUCAUGGACGUCAGCUAAAGAUUUGGAACAUAUCCGGAAAAGUUAAUUAAGUGAAGAUGGCAAAAUAAUACAAAGAUAAACAAAUAAAUAAUGUUUGGGCCGGCCAAAUCAGCAGAGAAUGAGAGAUACAGACACCGAGUCAAAGUUUCAAGCAAGCAAAAGGCUAAGGCGAUCAAGCGAAAGACUUGAAGAAGAGUAGAGAUCGGUGCUCACUCCACAAGCGCAGCAUUUGGUGACUAGAGGAGAAAAGGGGAGCCGUUUUUUUUCUCUCUUUUAAGGGUUUUUAAUUAGGACUUCAUUAUUAUGUUUCUUUGGUCUGUUAACACCCACAAUUCAGAAGAACACUAAUAUAACCUAUUUAUUGAUUAUUGAUACUAGUGUAUUACUAGAUGUUAAUGUAUUUAUUAACUCAUUAUUUAU
Arachis ipaensis is the source of this 607-nucleotide long non-coding RNA. RefSeq lists it as uncharacterized. The record is from RefSeq and is a predicted model, not a curated record. Lineage: Eukaryota; Viridiplantae; Streptophyta; Magnoliopsida; Fabales; Fabaceae.